AUCAUUUUCUUUAGUGUUAUGCAAAUUAUUUGUAAAACGACAAAAUUCAUCAACGAGAGUCUUCUACGGAAAAUAAUAUUCAAAAUCAUGGUCUUCGCUUUUCUAAAUAAAGAAGAUUUUUUUUGAAGAAUUCCAAAUUUUCGGAUUCGCAGAUGAACCCAAACACAUUGAAACAUUGGCUUAAUCGUGGUGAAAUCGAAAAACUCGAACAUGUCGUUUUGGAAGGUAGAGGAGCACGUUUAUUGGGAGAACGUUCACCGGAUCUUAGAACAAGAGUUUUUCUUAAAGGACUACCAAAUUACUUGACAAAAAUUUCCCAAAUGCAUGAUGCUGUGACUCGAGGAUCAUUAUUAGAAUGCCAAAAACUUAUAGCAGAAGAGCCAAAGAAGAAAUUUCCUUUAGCGAAAGAUUCAACGGGAACUCCUUUAUUACACAAAGCAGUUUAUUAUGAUCAUCAGGAUAUUGUAGAGUGGCUUAUUCAACAAUUUCCUGCCACUGUUCAUCAAAAAGACAGAGAAGGAAGAUCAGCUUUACAUUAUUGUGCAGCUUGCAGAGAUCCCGAUUCUGUUUGGGAUGUAUUGAUAGAAGCUGAUUGUGACGCAAGUAUUUGUGAUAAAAAAGGAAAUCCUGCUGCUUAUUAUUUGGAUCAUCAAUCUGAACUUGAAUUACCAGAAACCGAGAGAAUGAACAGCAGAAAGAUAGCCAGUCACAAAGAAAGACGAAGAAGCCGCUUAAAAAAUAACUCCGACAAUCAUGAACAACCCUUAACUGAAUUUCCGAAAAACAAUUUAGAUUUCAAACCAUCAAACAUAAGAAUAUGGAUUCACAAUAAGGAUAUUGGAAAAUUACAACGAGUCUUAUGGGAGGGUCACGGUACAAAACUUCGAUGUGAAACAAGUAAUAAUCCUCGAGUUAAGAAAUUUUUGGAAGCUGUACCAUUUAUAAUGGGAACAAUAAAAGAAAUUCACGCCAGGACGAUAAAAAAUGAUAUCGAAGGUUUCAAGAGAAAAAUUGCUGAGCCAGUGUCACCAAUAAUUCUUUGUAGCAAGGAUGGAAAUGGACUUAAUGUUCUUCAUAAAGCAGCUGGUUUGGGACACGUUGAAAUAGUUAAAGAAGUUUUGGAUUUGUAUCCAGCUGCAGUUCUUGCGGUAGACAAUGAUGGAAAAACUCCUUUACAUUAUGCAGCUGCAGCAAAAGACGAAGGAUUAAUGUACAAUUUACUCGUGGAAUUCGGAGCCGAUGAGGGAAAAGUCGAUAAUAAAUUUAAGGCCGCUGCUUUUUAUAAAAAUCGACCAUCCGAUGUUGAUAUGUCAGCACUUUUGAUUGUUCCCGAUGCCCCACGUGUUUCUGGGACAUAUCCAAAAAAUUGGGAUUGGAGAAUAUUGGAAACAGAUGAUAAUGUUAUUCGUGAUAUGAGAAAAUCCACGUCAAAAAUAGCAGAGAUCGCUGAGAUUGACGAGACCUUUGAUAAUGUUGAAUCGCCAACAAAAAUGAAAAAUGGCACACAUAAAAGAGAUUUGGUGAAACAGACUGAGCCCGAGACGAAGGAGGUUGAGGAAGUUGCUGCACCAAAAUCACCAGAUGAAGAUAAAGAGGAAAUAAAUAAAUCUCCAGAAUUUCAAUCGCCAGAACAAGGAUCACCAUUACCUGAGAAUGAUACAGAAAAUAAUGAGGAAUCAAAUGAGAUUGAUAAUAAUUUAGAGGAAAAUGAGGAAAGUACCAUUGAAAUUGAAAAAAAUGAUGAAAUUAUUGAAAAUGAGGAAAAUUUGGAAAAUACGGAAAACAUUAAUGAUGAUUUUAAUAAUAUUGAGAAAGAAAAUAAUGAAAUUGUAAAUACAGAACAAGAGGAAAGAACUGAUGCAAGUACUGGCGAUUCUGGUGUUGAUGAUCCAGCAAAUGAUGAUUUUCAAGUAAUUCUUGGUGAGCAUGAGGAUCUUCAGGAAUCGGAUGCCAAUGAAAAUGGAUUGGAGGAAGAAGAAACAGAUCCAGAAAUUGAACAAUUAACACAAACGGGAAAUAUGGAACAACUCGCUGAACUUGUACUCAAUGGCGAAGGCAGAAGACUCAUGGGAAGGCAGACCAGCAAUCCAGAACUUCAAUCAUUCAUUGACAAUGUUCCUGCAUUUAUGGGAAAAAUUCACGCGGUUCAUAUGGCAGCACGAGAAGGAAAUUUAAGAGACUUACAAAGUGCACUUGAUCGUCGUAAAUUUGCAAUCGCAAGGGACGAAUCAUCACCGAGAGGUGCAACUGCAUUACACGUAGCUGUAAUUUUUGGACACACUACCAUAAUUAGAUAUUUUGCUGGUCGAUUUCCCGAGACAGCGAAUGCUGUUGAUCUCGAUGGAAGAACACCAUUACAUUAUGCAGCAACACUUGCCGACAAUGGACAUUAUUUUAAUCUUCUCGUACAUUUGGGGGCAAAUCCACAAAUUCAAGAUAAUUUGGGUCAUAAGGCUGAAUAUUAUAAACAAAAUCAAGAAGAAUUGUCGCAUAAAAAAUUAUUACGCAGUUUUGGAGCUCAAGAAAGUCUUGCCGAUGAAAUGUUAACUGAUAAAGUUCCUGGUGGUGACAAGUAUUCAGCACGUCGUGAUGUGACCGAACCGGAAAUCCUGACAACACUUGAACGAUGUUUCCGUAUAUUGGCAGGUUCGAGACGUGGCUCAUUACCAAAUACACCGGCAAAAGCUGGCAAUUUAUUAAGUCGUUGCUUAAAACGGCCUGUAUUCGAACGACUCAAGCACCGUGUGACAUGCAUGGAUCACAAUCUUUUAGACGUGAUUUGGCCCGCUCUAAAAAUACAUGACAAUAAUAAAUUAUUAAAUUCCAAUGAUUUAAUGAUGAAUAAUUUUAGUAAUCAUCGACCACCGUCGUCAACAAUUCACGAUGAUGAUUUAGCAAUAAAUGUUGUUGCUCCCGAUUAUGAGAGUUAUAUUGUUUUUCAAGAAUUUUUUGAUCCACUUAUACGUGAAAUUCAUUGUCUCACAGCAACUGGCGAACUUCCCGAUCAUCCUAUAUCAAAUUUCUUCAGUAUGUCCGAUAAGGAGCGCGUGGAUAAUAUUGAUCAAAAUGUAAAAUUAAUACAAAAUUCAGAUCUCGAUUCAUCGGGGAAAUAUAUUAUUUCAGGUGUUAUUGAAUGUAGUAGAAAUUUGGGAAAAUAUCCACUGCCAUUGAAUCUUACAAUCAAUCAAUUGGAAAAUAGUGAAAGGGAAAUAACAUCAGUUUUAAUGAGACAAGAAUUAUCAGGUGUUCUUGCCGAUGGAUCAAGUGAAGAUGAACCCGGUACUUAUUAUACAUUAAUUGAAGUUAUUGAGAGACCAAGCGAUGUUCGUGUUCGUUUAGCUGCUGCUGGAUUACUUGCACCAAUUACUGAAAUUGAAGAUUUAGAUGAAAAACGUUUACAUGGAAAACAUUGGCCCUAUGGACGUGGUGUUUAUUUGGCAGCCGCUGGUAAUUUAGCAAUAUGGGUCAAUGUACAGGAUCAUAUUAGAGUUAUUUGUUCGACAAGUGAAACAAAACCGGGAAAACUUGGUAAAAUUUAUGUUCGUAUGGCAAAAUUAAUGAAUGUCAUGGAUCAACGUUUAAUAUUUAAACGUGAUAAAAAAUUAGGUUUUCUUAGUUCACGACCAACAUCAAUUGGUAAUACAUUAAGAAUUCAUUUAGGAGUAAAAUUUGCCACAUUAUCAAAAGAUCCGGGAAAUUUAAAAAAUCUUUCCAUUGUCCGUGGACUUGAAUGUAAAGAGACAAUACGACGAAAUAUUUUUGUUCUUAGCAAUCAACAGAGUUUAUCAAUAACUGAACUUCAAACAUUACAAGAUUUUUGUCGUGCCGCGCUCAAUGUACUUUCCGUCGAGAAGGAAAUGACACUUAAUAAUAAUUCAAUGAAAAUUGCCAAUGUAAUCUCGAGUAUUUUUCGUAAACGAAAAUCAAGUUCUCACAUCUCGGGAUAAAAUAUGCUCAAUAUUUUACGCUUUUAUAAUUAUUAUAAUUAUAAUAGAAUUAAUUUAAGAAACAAAUUUUCUUCUCUAACUGCCAAUUUAUUUUUCAUUAAUAUUUUUCAUAAAAAAAAAAAAAAGAAUCUUAUCUCAAAAUAAUUUCAUUGGAUAUAUAAUAUUAAAAUUGUGAAAAUUAUUAAGACAAAUUAAAACUGAAGGAAUAUUUAAAAAAUUUUUGAAGAAUUAUUGUGAAUGAGAAUAAUUGAACAAAAUUAGAGUAAUCGAUGUAAUGAAUCAUAAUUUAGACUAAUUUAAUUGAUUUUUUUUUAUUAAUAUAAACUGAAUUGUAUUAAUCUCAAAGAAACUUUUCUGUGAUAAAAUAUGGAACGAUUUUCGUUGAUUAAAAAUAAGAAAAAAAAAAAAGGGAAAACGAGGCUGUUCAGUUGGAAAGAUGUGUGAUAAAAACUCAGGAUUCAAUAUGUUACAACUCUCUUUUAAAAUGGCUUGUUUUUGGAAUUAUCUUCCGGGAGAGACGUCUCAACUAGGAAACAAUGAAAAAGAUCUUCCUGUUUUUGAUACUGAUGAUGAACGCUACUUAGCUGACUCCCUUGGAAAUCCUUUAUUGAAAGGAUUAACGGAAGUGGUUAAAUCACGUCCAGAAGAUCCG
Leptopilina boulardi is the source of this 4599-nucleotide RNA transcript. RefSeq lists it as uncharacterized. The record is from RefSeq and is a predicted model, not a curated record. The transcript is spliced from 17 exons. NCBI's taxonomy places the organism in Eukaryota, Metazoa, Arthropoda, Insecta, Hymenoptera, Figitidae.